UCAUAGAUACCCCAACUAGUUAUACAUUGCCUGACAGUGUAUGGUGGAUGUGGUUGUGACCUGUAGCACCAGACUCCACCCCACAAGGUGGAUGGUCUGAUUACGAUUUGCAUCUUGGACGCUGUUGAGCAUUUUUCAAACCUAUCAAGCACCGUUUAUCGAAGCUCCCGAAGAAGCGACGACGUCGCGAAACAUGUCGAGCUGAACCCCAUUUUAAUCAGAACUCAUCCUGUACCACCUUUCGAAGUUACAACGCCACCCAGCGCUCCUAGUGUAUUCUAUGCAUCCAGCCCUGUGGCUAAUAGCGAUGUCUUCAGAAAGUGUUAGGAUUUGAGCUCUUUUGUGUAUCCUAUUUGUUUGCUUUUCCUUUUUCUUUUUUUCAUAUAGAGCAACUGUGAUGUAUCUUUGUAGUCUUGUAUUUACUAAAUUAAAAUAUUUAUAAUUUUAA
Rana temporaria (common frog) is the source of this 448-nucleotide long non-coding RNA. RefSeq lists it as uncharacterized. The record is from RefSeq and is a predicted model, not a curated record. The transcript is spliced from 2 exons. NCBI's taxonomy places the organism in Eukaryota, Metazoa, Chordata, Amphibia, Anura, Ranidae.